Molecule: long non-coding RNA, 219 nt
Organism: Vidua chalybeata
Lineage: Eukaryota; Metazoa; Chordata; Aves; Passeriformes; Viduidae
Exons: 2
Source: RefSeq, a predicted model, not a curated record
AGACACCGACCCCCCCGCGGCGGACGCCCCCCCCCCGCCUUCCCGCUGCAGCCCAGCUCUACACCCCCAAGGAAAGACGUGGUUAGAGAAGCUCUGCUAGCUCUCCUCUCCUGAGACUGGUGCUCAGUGCUGAGCUGGGCAGAAGCUGAGCAGGACACCUGCAACUGUUACAGCAAUAAAGAUUUUCCUGUGCUUCUGGAUAACACAGAGCCACAAACA